CCUACGGGCGGCUGCAGUGGGGAAUAUUGGACAAUGGGCGAAAGCCUGAUCCAGCCAUGCCGCGUGUGUGAAGAAGGCCUUCGGGUUGUAAAGCACUUUCAGUGGGGAAGAAAGCCUUGGGGCUAAUACCCUCGAGGAAGGACAUCACCCACAGAAGAAGCACCGGCUGAACUCCGUGCCAGCAGCCGCGGUAAUACGGAGGGUGCGAGCGUUAAUCGGAAUUACUGGGCGUAAAGCGCGCGUAGGCGGUCUGAUAAGCCGGUUGUGAAAGCCCCGGGCUCAACCUGGGAACGGCAUCCGGAACUGUCAGGCUAGAGUGAAGGAGAGGAAGGUAGAAUUCCCGGUGUAGCGGUGAAAUGCGUAGAGAUCGGGAGGAAUACCAGUGGCGAAGGCGGCAUUCUGGACUGACACUGACGCUGAGGUGCGAAAGCGUGGGUAGCAAACAGGAUUAGAUACCCCGGUAGUC
RNAcentral lists this ribosomal RNA (466 nucleotides) under Vreelandella stevensii. Its description in RNAcentral is "partial 16S ribosomal RNA". It matches the Rfam family "Bacterial small subunit ribosomal RNA", at positions 338 to 795 of the family's 1533-position model. Lineage: Bacteria; Pseudomonadati; Pseudomonadota; Gammaproteobacteria; Oceanospirillales; Halomonadaceae. The record is from RNAcentral.